Molecule: ribosomal RNA, 253 nt
Filed under: uncultured bacterium
Lineage: Bacteria
Description: partial 16S ribosomal RNA
Rfam family: Bacterial small subunit ribosomal RNA
Source: RNAcentral
UACGGGGGGGGCAAGCGUUGUUCGGAAUUACUGGGCGUAGAGGGCUCGUAGGUGGCCAACUAAGUCGGACGUGAAAUCCCUCGGCUUAACCGGGGAACUGCGUCUGAUACUGGAUGGCUUGAGUUCGGGAGAGGGAUGCGGAAUUCCAGGUGUAGCGGUGAAAUGCGUAGAUAUCUGGAGGAACACCGGUGGCGAAGGCGGCAUCCUGGACCGGCAUUGACGCUGAGGCGCGAAAGCUAGGGGAGCAAACGGG